AAUUUUAUAGUUUAAUAUAAAACAAUAGGUUGCAAACCUAAAAAUAUAAUUUUAAGUUAUUAAAAUUU
RNAcentral lists this transfer RNA (68 nucleotides) under Athalia sp. 'tibetana'. RNAcentral's name for it is "tRNA-Cys". It matches the Rfam family "tRNA". From Rfam's summary of the family: Transfer RNA (tRNA) molecules are approximately 80 nucleotides in length. Their secondary structure includes four short double-helical elements and three loops (D, anti-codon, and T loops). The record is from RNAcentral. Lineage: Eukaryota; Metazoa; Arthropoda; Insecta; Hymenoptera; Athaliidae.